ACGCCGGUAGCUCAGUUGAUAGAGCAGUGGCACGGUACUUCACGAUCCCGGGUUCAAGCCCCGGCCGACAAU
Phthorimaea operculella (potato tuberworm) is the source of this 72-nucleotide non-coding RNA. The record is from the annotation of a GenBank genome assembly. NCBI's taxonomy places the organism in Eukaryota, Metazoa, Arthropoda, Insecta, Lepidoptera, Gelechiidae.